This 436-nucleotide ribosomal RNA is filed under the name bacterium enrichment culture clone ALO1_GLFRUDD03G2E83. Its description in RNAcentral is "bacterial SSU rRNA". It matches the Rfam family "Bacterial small subunit ribosomal RNA", at positions 9 to 447 of the family's 1533-position model. The record is from RNAcentral.
GAGUUUGAUCCUGGCUCAGAUUGAACGCUGGCGGCAUGCCUUACACAUGCAAGUCGAACGGCAGCACGGGAGCUUGCUCCUGGUGGCGAGUGGCGAACGGGUGAGUAAUGCAUCGGAACGUAUCCUGGAGUGGGGGAUAACGUAGCGAAAGUUACGCUAAUACCGCAUAUUCUGUGAGCAGGAAAGCGGGGGACCUUCGGGCCUCGCGCUCUUGGAGCGGCCGAUGUCGGAUUAGCUAGUUGGUGAGGUAAAGGCUCACCAGGGCGACGAUCCGUAGCAGGUCUGAGAGGAUGAUCUGCCACACUGGAACUGAGACACGGUCCAGACUCCUACGGGAGGCAGCAGUGGGGAAUUUUGGACAAUGGGGGCAACCCUGAUCCAGCCAUGCCGCGUGAGUGAAGAAGGCCUUCGGUGUAAGAGUCUUCGUCGAGGAAGG